This 420-nucleotide long non-coding RNA is filed under the name Hordeum vulgare. RNAcentral describes it as "long non-coding RNA (HVUL_LNC009516)". The record is from RNAcentral. Lineage: Eukaryota; Viridiplantae; Streptophyta; Magnoliopsida; Poales; Poaceae.
UUCCAGUCCUAUAAAUUCCUAUUCUUGGAGAAAAAAUUGGAGAGAAGAUUUCAUCGAGUUGUACAAGACGGAGCCUCCUCCACCUCUUGUUCUUACUUUGGUGGGCUGAUCUGGAGUCCAUUUGGGGCUCCGGGGAGGGGGAUUUGUCAUCAUCAACCCUUCUCCAUCAACAAUUACAUUAUGCUCAACAACGGGUGUGAUUAUUUCCAUAGUAGGAUCGCUGGAUGGUGAUGCGGUUUGGAUGAGAUUGAUCAUGUAAUGAGUUGCUUUUGAUAGCUCUUCAUCCCUAGUAUCCAUUAUGUUAUGAGAUUGAUGUUGCUAUGACUUUGCUAUGCUUAAUUCUUGUCACUAGGGCCCGAGUGCCAUGAUUUGAGAUCUGAACUUAUUAUAUUCUCUCUGAAUAUGAAAAGUAUUUGGAUA